This 228-nucleotide ribosomal RNA is filed under the name Chlamydia suis. Its description in RNAcentral is "partial 16S ribosomal RNA". It matches the Rfam family "Bacterial small subunit ribosomal RNA", at positions 43 to 263 of the family's 1533-position model. The record is from RNAcentral. Lineage: Bacteria; Pseudomonadati; Chlamydiota; Chlamydiia; Chlamydiales; Chlamydiaceae.
CGUGGAUGAGGCAUGCAAGUCGAACGGAACAGUUUUUAACUGUUUAGUGGCGGAAGGGUUAGUAAUGCAUAGAUAAUUUGUCUUUAACUUGGGAAUAACGGUUGGAAACGGCCGCUAAUACCGAAUGUGGCACCAUUUAGGCAUCUAGAUGGUGUUAAAGAAGGGGAUCUUCGGACCUUUCGGUUAAAGGGGAGUCUAUGUGAUAUCAGCUAGUUGGUAGGGUAAAGG